AUGAGCUCAGCUCCUGAACAUCCCAGAAUUUGCCUGGGACUCACUGACCUCGAGCUGUCACCCCUUCCCUCUCCACACACCUCUUUGUCUCUCUACUCUGACCUGGACCUGCUAGCUUCCAGAAGUGAAGAAACACAGGACAAAGGAAAGCCCACUAUACUCAGGGAAGCAAGUUCAAGUGUCCAUGUUUGGGGGUGGAAGCAUCAUCAGUCCACCUGCAAAGUAGCCCAAGAUUUUCCAACCAAGAGAGCAACUUCAAGGCCAGAUGAAAGUAUUCCACAGAAUGCCUUGGGCAGGAAGCCACGUCUCCCCAAAGUCCAUGUUCUCACAACCUGGGGACAACCUGCUGAACCAAUUGUGGUGAAGGGGCCCAAAGGAUGUGUCCCAGGCAAGAGAGGAGCCUCAGGGAACCUCCUCCCCAGCCAGAGAGAAACUUUAGGCAGAAAGGAUGUGUAGAGUCAACAGUGUUUGUGGGACAUAUUUGUGGAACAAAAUCAUAUCAGCUGCUUUAGAGAGUAGGCAGUCAGCCUAUGAGAACCUGGGGUCCCAGUGACCUUCCCUGUUCUGGGGUGAGCCAGAAGCAGACACUCCGUAUCCACUUCUCUUCUCCCCUCCAACCUUUUCCACACCCUCCUCUCGGUGAUUGGUGGUUUAAAGGUAGCACAAGGUUCUAGGCCUUGGGCUGGGAUUGUGGCUCAAGCGGUAGCACGCUCGCCUGGCAUGCGUGUGGCCCGGGUUCGAUCCUCAGCACCACAUACCAACAAAGAUGUUGUGUCUGCCGAGAACUAAAAAAUAAAAAUAUUUAAAAAAAAAAAAAAAAGGUUCUAGGCCUUGAAAAGGCCUGUGUGUCUGGGCUCAUGUAAUUCCAACUAGCUAGAAGUUGGCCCCACUGACACUCGGCUCCUCCAUAAGUUAGGAGGGGCGGUAUGGUGACAAAGAGUGAGGACCUUGGGUUCCCAGCUCUACCACUUAUGCAGGAUACAUAAUUCUAAAUAUCUUUCAACCUCAGUUUCCUCAUCUAUGAAAUGGGACAGUAGUAAAGUAGGUGAAAUGCCUACUCAAAACUUUGGCCCCCUCUCUGUCGUUUCCCAGUUCCCUUCCUAUUUCUUCCCUCUCCCUUCUCACUCCUCUUACUCAUUCUCCCUCUUUCUCCUUCCUUCUUAUCCUUAUCCCUACCUCAUUUCUCUUCCUCCUCUCUUCCCCUCACCAUCUUUUCUCUCCUUUCUUCAUCCCCUUCCUGGUUUCCUCCCUCUCACCCCUUCAGGGGCUCUGGUUCAUACUUUUAAGAAGCUAAGGGCUGGGGUUGUGGCUCAGUGGUAGAGUGAUUGCCUAGCACAGGCAUGGUCCCGGGUUUGAUCCUCAGCACCACAUAUAAAAACAAAGAUGUUGUCCGCCGAAAACUAAAAAAUAAAUAUUAAAAAAUUCU
RNAcentral lists this long non-coding RNA (1426 nucleotides) under Ictidomys tridecemlineatus (thirteen-lined ground squirrel). Its description in RNAcentral is "lncRNA (ENSSTOG00000030990.1)". Lineage: Eukaryota; Metazoa; Chordata; Mammalia; Rodentia; Sciuridae. The record is from RNAcentral.